RNAcentral lists this small RNA (790 nucleotides) under Pan troglodytes (chimpanzee). RNAcentral's name for it is "retained intron". Lineage: Eukaryota; Metazoa; Chordata; Mammalia; Primates; Hominidae. The record is from RNAcentral.
GGACCUGGGUGACUGGGAGGCCACCGAGCGGGCGCUGGGCAGCGUGGGCCCCGUGGACCUGCUGGUGAACAACGCCGCUGUCGCCCUGCUGCAGCCCUUCCUGGAGGUCACCAAGGAGGCCUUUGACAGAUCCUUUGAGGUGAACCUGCGUGCGGUCAUCCAGGUGUCACAGGUGAGCUGCCCUGUGGGCUGGACGGGAAUUCUCGUGAGUGAUGCCAGCUCUGCCUCACGGUCUCGCUGCAAUUCCAGAUUGUGGCCAGGGGCUUAAUAGCCCGGGGAGUCCCAGGGGCCAUCGUGAAUGUCUCCAGCCAGGGCUCCCAGCGGGCAGUAACUAACCAUAGCGUCUACUGCUCCACCAAGGGUGCCCUGGACAUGCUGACCAAGGUGAUGGCCCUAGAGCUCGGGCCCCACAAGGUGAGCAGGGCUGGGGUACCUCCCCCAACCUAGGGCACCCCACUUGCCCUGCUGACCCCAGCUGUCCCGGUGUAGAUCCGAGUGAAUGCAGUAAACCCCACAGUGGUGAUGACGCCCAUGGGCCAGGCCGCCUGGAGUGACCCCCACAAGGCCAAGACUAUGCUGGACCGAAUCCCACUUGGCAAGUUUGCUGAGGUAGAGCACGUGGUGGACGCCAUCCUCUUUCUGCUGAGUGACCGAAGUGGCAUGACCACGGGCUCCACUUUGCCGGUGGAAGGGGGCUUCUGGGCCUGCUGAGCUCCCUCCACACACCUCAAACCCCAUGCCGUGCUCAUCCUACCCCCAAUCCCUCCAAUAAACCUGAUUCUGCUGCCCA